UACGUAGGUGGCAAGCGUUGUCCGGAUUUACUGGGUGUAAAGGGCGUGUAGCCGGGCUGACAAGUCAGAUGUGAAAUUCCGGGGCUCAACCCCGGACCUGCAUUUGAAACUGUUGGUCUUGAGUAUCGGAGAGGCAGGCGGAAUGUGUAGUGUAGCGGUGAAAUGCAUAGAUAUUACACAGAACACCGAUUGCGAAGGCAGCUUGCUAGGCCGGAUCUGACACUGAUGCACGAAAGCGUGGGGAUCGAACAGG
Molecule: ribosomal RNA, 253 nt
Filed under: uncultured Oscillospiraceae bacterium
Lineage: Bacteria; Bacillati; Bacillota; Clostridia; Eubacteriales; Oscillospiraceae
Description: partial 16S ribosomal RNA
Rfam family: Bacterial small subunit ribosomal RNA
Source: RNAcentral